Molecule: long non-coding RNA, 330 nt
Filed under: Ananas comosus (pineapple)
Lineage: Eukaryota; Viridiplantae; Streptophyta; Magnoliopsida; Poales; Bromeliaceae
Description: long non-coding RNA (ACOM_LNC027632)
Source: RNAcentral
CAAAGUUCAACUUUUAUAUAUUAUCACUGUAAAAGUUUUGAUGUUUUCAAAUAUAUCCUUACCGUUAGAAUUCGUUAGAAAAAAAUUUAGUUAACCAUAGGUUAAAUACUUAACCCUAGUUAGUUUUUAAUAUUUUUACCCAUCUUAUAUUAUACUGUUAUGGUCUUUGGAGGAAUAUAUUUGUAAUGGCAAAAUUGAAAAAAUAAACAGUUAUCUAACGGUUCUCUAACGAUAAUAAUUCAGAGGAACAUAUUUGAAAAUAUCAGAACUUUUAAAGGGACAAUAUGUAAAAAUUGACGUUUGUAGGAAUAUAUUUAUUAUUUACUAUAU